This 426-nucleotide ribosomal RNA is filed under the name uncultured bacterium. RNAcentral describes it as "bacterial SSU rRNA". It matches the Rfam family "Bacterial small subunit ribosomal RNA", at positions 356 to 773 of the family's 1533-position model. The record is from RNAcentral.
GAGGAAUUUUCGGCAAUGGGGGCAACCCUGACCGAGCAACGCCGCGUGGGGGACGAAGGCCUUCGGGUCGUAAACCCCUGUCAGAGGGAAAGAAGGGUCGCCGACCUAAUACGUCGGUGAUCUGACGGUACCUUCAGAGGAAGCCCCGGCCAACUCUGUGCCAGCAGCCGCGGUAAGACAGAGGGUGCAAACGUUGUUCGGAAUUACUGGGCGUAAAGCGAGUGUAGGCGGUCUUGUAAGUCGGAUGUGAAAGCCCCGGGCUCAACCCGGGAAGUGCACUCGAUACUGCGAGGCUAGAGUAUCGGAGAGGUUGGUGGAAUUCUCGGUGUAGAGGUGAAAUUCGUAGAUAUCGAGAGGAACACCGGUGGCGAAGGCGGCCAACUGGACGAAUACUGACGCUGAGACUCGAAAGCGUGGGGAGCAAAC